This 406-nucleotide ribosomal RNA is filed under the name uncultured bacterium. Its description in RNAcentral is "partial 16S ribosomal RNA". It matches the Rfam family "Bacterial small subunit ribosomal RNA", at positions 29 to 526 of the family's 1533-position model. The record is from RNAcentral.
AUUGCACGCUGGCGGCAGGCCUAACACAUGCAAGUCGAGCGAGCGGCGGACGGGUGAGUAAUGUCUGGGAAACUGCCUGAUGGAGGGGGAUAACUACUGGAAACGGUAGCUAAUACCGCAUACCAUCAGAUGUGCCCAGAGGGGAUUAGCUGGUAGGUGGGGUAACGGCGCCCCUAGGCGACGAUCCCUAGCUGGUCUGAGAGGAUGACCAGCCACACUUGAACUGAGACACGGGCCAGACUCCUACGGGAGGCAGCAGUGGGGAAUAUUGCACAAUGGGGGCAAGCCUGAUGCAGCCAUGCCGCGUGUGGGAAGAAGGCUUUCGGGUUGUAAAGCACUUUAAGCGGGGAGGCGUUACCCGCAGAAGAAGCACCGGCUAACUCCGUGCCAGCCGCCGCGGUAAUUC